UCCAUUGUGUUUGAUGUGUGUAUCUUC
Molecule: non-coding RNA, 27 nt
Filed under: Rattus norvegicus (Norway rat)
Lineage: Eukaryota; Metazoa; Chordata; Mammalia; Rodentia; Muridae
Source: RNAcentral